This is a long non-coding RNA of Andrographis paniculata, 3333 nucleotides long. RefSeq lists it as uncharacterized. NCBI's taxonomy places the organism in Eukaryota, Viridiplantae, Streptophyta, Magnoliopsida, Lamiales, Acanthaceae. The record is from RefSeq and is a predicted model, not a curated record. The transcript is spliced from 6 exons.
UUUUCUUCUUUGUCCUCUUCGUUCUUCUUCGUCUUUCGUUCUUCUUCUUCUUCUUCUUCUUCUUUUUUUUGUUUCCUUUUCUUCUUCUCCUUCCCAUACGUCCUCCUUCACCUUCCUUUAAUUUCUCCUCCCUGCACCCUUGAACGGCACGUCAUCUCCACCUUCGUCGGCUGUUAAUCGCGCUCCGCCGUCGUCUUCCUCGACCUGUCGAUAGCGAGUCGCCGCUGCCUACCGUCCUGAAAUGCAAAUCCUAGAUCUUUCCAUGAGUUUGGAUUUAUUUAUUUUUUUGUCUUAUUAUUUUUUGUCGAUGUUUAUUUAGAUGGAAGAAACUUUCAGUAAGAUCGGACAAAUAAGAAGAUGCUUUAUGGUUACCAAAAAAGGUAGGCUAAUCUAGUGCCCAUGUUAAAUUUGAGGAUCACCUGAAACAAGUUUAUGAUUUUAAAUGUUGUGGACAACCAAAAGAAUAAUACUUAUAUAGGAUGGGAUUGAUUUAAAAAUUGCUUGUUUUGAAGUCAAAAAAUCAUGAUUGUUUUAUUUCUUGUAGCAAAAAUAUUUUGUCUAGACUAAGCUUUUAUUUUUGGUCGGCCUUUGUUUGUUUUAUAUUAGGAUCAAGUGAGCAUCGAAGGUUUGGCUAUGUUCAAUUGUAAGUAAAAUUUGUUUUUUUUAAUUUUUUUCUGGAUUUUGUGAGUGGUACUAGGUUUUAUAUUGAUUCUCAAUUGUAAGUGUUGCCAUUGAAGAUACUAAUCAUUCCAUUGAGUUGAAGAAUUGUUCAGCUAUUGGAGGUAGAAAGAUUCUAGUUAAAAAUGCCAUGUAUGGUGCUCAUCUUGAGCAGCUUCGAACAAAAGACAAUGAAUGUGUGUUUUUUCGAAUUGUUGCAUCUUUUAUGUGUCUUUCUUGCCUCACCAUAUAACACAUUAGUUGAUAGAUGAAUAUUGUGUUCUUUUCUUGUUUCAAAUUUAACUUUUACAAGUUUAUGAUCAUUUUGAAUUUUUGUCGCAAUGUUUGGAAUUCUUAAUUUUCUUCCAUUCAAUAUAGAGAUGCUAUCAAACUAGAGAGUAACAAUAAUAAGGCUUUGUAAUUCCGAGCAAAAGGUUCUAGUUUUAAGUCUGCAUCUGUUAUGUGGUAAUCUAGAAUAGAACACCAUUGCUUGUUUUAUGAUUAUGGUUUGGAUUCUUGAUUUUCUUCGGUUCAAUCUGGAUAUAUUGUGAAACCCGAGAAUAACAAGGCUGUUACAAUAGCAGACAAAACUGACAAGGCUUCACAAUUCCAAACAAAAGGUUCUAGUUUCAAGUUUGCAUAUGAUAUGUGGUGUUGUCAUUUAGUGCACACCAUUUCUUGUUUUGUUAUCAACCUUAUUAAUAUUGAAAAUAUCAUGUGAGGUAUAAUGAGAAAAAAUCGAUCGCAGUUUCUAGUAUCCGUCCCAAGAAAGUGAAAAGUUCUGAAAACGAGACAUUUUCUUCGAAUUUUGUUGUUUUAUUUUUCUUCUUGUUAUGGUUGAUAUUAAUAUUGUUAAGUUAGAUUUGGUCCAAAGUUAUCGAUAAAUAAUUUUAAUAUUUAGGUUAUAUGAAUAUAUGUCUUGAAUAACUUGUUGGUUUGCACGUGUAUUUUGGUGUUGAUAUAAAUUAAAGUAUGAUUAUUAUUAUUUUUUAGUUUGGUUGGUAUUCCUGUGUUGUUUUUUUGUUGAAUUUUAAUUAAUAUUAUAUGUUCACGAGUUUAUUGGUUACUUGUGAUGGUUUUCCAACUUUCGUAUUUAUUUGAUUUUGUAGAUCUUAGUUUGAUGCAUUGUGUUAGCUAUUAAUUAUAUAAUAGGUUAGUGGAUAUUUUUUCUAUGAGUAAUGAAUAGCUAUUAAUUAUAGAAUAGUUAUUGUCAUUGAUUUACUUUUGGAUUUGCAUUGUGGAUGUUUCUAUGGUUACGAUUGUGAGUUGUUUUGUUACUGCAAAAAAUAAAGAACUUAUUCUAUGAUAGUUAUAUGGUAAUGAUUGUUAAUUUGGUUUAUUUUUAAUAUGAUGAUUUGAAUGCAUUUUUCAUUACUUUUUUUGUUAUUUUUAUUACAAGUGUGAGAUUAUCUAUUUUUUUUUGGAUGACGUGAGAACCCGCAGCCGCUACCCGAAAGUGCGCACUGGGUAAACCCCCAGUUGGUGAUAAUAUUGUGACAUAUACAGUUAGGUUUUGUAAUGAAUUAUGAAUUUCAUGACUCAUAUUCUUCAUUUUAUUUGUUUAUCCUUGCAUAUGAUAUGGGUUAUGUAUAUGAGGAUUGUAUCUAAUUUGGAACAGGAAUUUGGGCUGAACUUGAGCAAUUUUGAUUGAAGUGCCACUCAUGAAUUUAUUUUACUUUAUUCCAGAUUUAAUUUGUUUUCGUUGUUUAUCUCUUUGGAAAUGUGGAUUUGUGGUGUAGAAUGUUAUCGUUUAUGAAUUAGCUAUUAUUAACUAAAAUUUCACUUUUUAAACAUUAUUUCUUUGUUAUUUUCUCUAAACUCUCUCUAUGUCUUGUAAUACAUAAUGCUAUGCCUCUGUUCGUCUGGUAUAUAGGGAGACGUUUCUGCUAAGCAAGCAAGCACUGCCUCGAUUGUUUUCUUAUGAUGUAUCAACAAAUUCAAUUAAAAAACAUCAAUACUGGAUUACUCCUAGCAUAAUUUUUCUUGCAGAUUUGAUUAGUCACGGAAGUAUGGCUAUAAUUGACAUUAUUUCAGGUAGACAGGCUUCAGACGUUGUACAAAAGUUGGGAAGAUAACCCGGAUGUUGGGUAGAGAGAUAAGGCAUUUGCUGCUGCUGGUGAUAUUGUGUCCAUCUAUAAUAUGCUAAAACAAGGUUAUACCAUUAAUAUAGUAAAGGUUCUUUUCACGGCUGAUACCGUUCCGGAGGCUACGCUAAUUCACGAACGAUAUCUGAAGUGCAAACACUCUGUGAGUUUGUCCACGUCGAGCCAAUCGACUGGACAUUCAAGGAUGCACCUCGUUCGUCACACAUAACUGCCGUGUAUGUUCACUUUGAUGCUGCAUGGGGCGAUGCAGCGUUGCAUGUAAUUCUAUGAUGAUAGCUUUUGUUUGUGGAUUGAUACUGACUAAGUCCUUUACGUAGGUUGAACUUGCAUAUGUUGCUUCCUUUUGUGUGUUUGUUGUUAUGCUUUGCCUUUGGAUUGUAUAUGUUGGUUGUAUUGCGAACUAGUUAUGUUCCUAGAUAGUGUGUACUUGGUGCUACUAAUGGUUGUAUUGCGAACUAGUUAUGUUUUUCGGUUCCGAUACUAUUUUUUUUGUUAUUACUAAAAAAAUAAGGAUACACUUUUUGUUGCGAAAUUGUGUUCGUUACAAAUACCGGUACAAAAAAUUAUGAAU